CAAAUCAGGUAGGAUUACCCGCUGAACUUAAGCAUAUCAAUAAGCGGAGGAAAAGAAACUAACAAGGAUUCCCCUAGUAACUGCGAGUGAAGCGGGAAAAGCUCAAAUUUGUAAUCUGGCGGUCUUGGGCCGUCCGAAUUGUAAACUAGAGAAGCGUUAUCCGCGCUGGACCGUGUACAAGUCCCCUGGAAUGGGGCGUCAUAGAGGGUGAGAAUCCCGUCUUUGACACGGACUACCAGGGCUUUGUGAUGCGCUCUCAAAGAGUCGAGUUGUUUGGGAAUGCAGCUCAAAAUGGGUGGUAAAUUCCAUCUAAAGCUAAAUAUUGGCGAGAGACCGAUAGCGAACAAGUACCGUGAGGGAAAGAUGAAAAGAACUUUGGAAAGAGAGUUAAACAGUACGUGAAAUUGCUGAAAGGGAAACGCUUGAAGUCAGUCGCGUUGGCUAGGGAUCAGCCUUACUCUGGUGGGGUGUAUUUCCUUGUCGACGGGUCAGCAUCAGUUUUGGUUGCUGGAUAAAGGCCAGGGGAAUGUGGCACCUUCGGGUGUGUUAUAGCCCUUGGUCAGAUACAGUGGCUGGGACUGAGGAACUCAGCACGCGCAAGCUGUGCUUAGGA
This 613-nucleotide ribosomal RNA is filed under the name Hohenbuehelia tremula. RNAcentral's name for it is "eukaryotic LSU rRNA". It matches the Rfam family "Eukaryotic large subunit ribosomal RNA", at positions 1 to 623 of the family's 3401-position model. Lineage: Eukaryota; Fungi; Basidiomycota; Agaricomycetes; Agaricales; Pleurotaceae. The record is from RNAcentral. RNAcentral also lists the same sequence under 1 other name.